CACGCCCUAAACGAUGCAUUCUAGUUAUUCGGAGUAUCGACCCUCUGAGUGACGUAGCUAACGCGUUAAGAAUGCCGCCUGGGAAGUACGAUCGCAAGAUUAAAACUCAAAGGAAUAGACGGGGACUUGCACAAGCAGUGGAUUAUGUGGUUUAAUUCGAUGGUAAACGAAGCACCUCACCAAGAUUUGAAAUUUACACGACAGUCACAGAAAUGUGAUCUUCCGCAAGGACGUGUAUUCAGGUGU
This 246-nucleotide ribosomal RNA is filed under the name uncultured bacterium. RNAcentral's name for it is "partial 16S ribosomal RNA". It matches the Rfam family "Bacterial small subunit ribosomal RNA", at positions 796 to 1041 of the family's 1533-position model. The record is from RNAcentral.